This 290-nucleotide ribosomal RNA is filed under the name Gluvia dorsalis. RNAcentral's name for it is "partial 28S ribosomal RNA". It matches the Rfam family "Eukaryotic large subunit ribosomal RNA", at positions 666 to 925 of the family's 3401-position model. Lineage: Eukaryota; Metazoa; Arthropoda; Arachnida; Solifugae; Daesiidae. The record is from RNAcentral.
CCAAGAAGUCCAACACGUGCGCGAGUCAUGGGGUCUCGAAGAAGCCCAAUGGCGCAAUGAAAUGUGAAGGUCGGUGCUGGCCGACCGAGUUGCGAUCGCGUCGCUUUGCGGCGUGCGCAGCAACGGCCCGUCCCGUUCCGCUCUGUCGGCGGGGCGGAGCUAGAGCGCACGUGUUGGGACCCGAAAGAUGGUGAACUAUGCCUGGGCAAGGCGAAGCCAGGGGAAACUCUGGUGGAGGUCUGUAGCGAUUCUGACGUGCAAAUCGAUCGUCAGACCUAGGUAUAGGGGCG